UACGGAGGAUGCGAGCGUUAUCCGGAUUUAUUGGGUUUAAAGGGUGCGCAGGCGGAUUUUUAAGUCAGCGGUCAAAUCGUGGGGCUCAACCCCAUCCAGCCGUUGAAACUGGGGAUCUAGAGUGUCGGAGAGGCAGGCGGAAUUCCUAGUGUAGCGGUGAAAUGCGUAGAUAUUAGGAGGAACACCAGUGGCGAAGGCGGCUUACUGGACUGUAACUGACGUUGAGGCUCGAAAGCGUGGGGAGCAAACAGG
RNAcentral lists this ribosomal RNA (252 nucleotides) under uncultured bacterium. RNAcentral describes it as "partial 16S ribosomal RNA". It matches the Rfam family "Bacterial small subunit ribosomal RNA", at positions 524 to 776 of the family's 1533-position model. The record is from RNAcentral.